Molecule: ribosomal RNA, 406 nt
Filed under: uncultured bacterium
Lineage: Bacteria
Description: partial 16S ribosomal RNA
Rfam family: Bacterial small subunit ribosomal RNA
Source: RNAcentral
AUUGAACGCUGGAGGCAGGCUUAACACAUGCAAGUCGAGCGAGAGGCGGACGGGUGAGUAAUGUCUGGGAAACUGCCUGAUGGAGGGGGAUAACUACUGGAAACGGUAGCUAAUACCGCAUACCAUCAGAUGUGCCCAGAUGGGAUUAGCUAGUAGCUGGGGUAAUGGCUCACCUAGGCGACGAUCCCUAGAUGGUCUGAGAGGAUGACCAGACACACGGGAGCUGAGACACGGUCCAGAAUCCUACGGGAGGCAGCAGUGGGGAAUAUGGCACAAUGGGCGCAAGCCUGAUGCAGCCAGGCCGCGUGUGUGAAGAAGGCCUUCGGGUUGGAAAGCACUUUCAGCGAGGAGGCGGUACUCGCAGAAGAAGCACCGGCUAACUCCGUGCCAGCAGCCGCGGUAAUUC